GCAAGUCGCGGGAGAAAGCCUUCGGGUGAGUAUACCGGCGGAAGGGUGAGUACAAGCUAGUUAACGUACCUUUGGAUCCGGAUAAUUCUUGGAAACUAGUUGUAAAACGGAAUGAGACCACAGGCAGUUUUGUGCUAGGGGUGAAAGUCGCGGGACCCUUCGGGGCCGCGAGCCAUUGGAGCGGCCUAGCCCUGAUUAGCUUGUUGGUGAGGUAAUGGCUCACCAAGGCAAUGAUCAGUAGCCGGCCUGAGAGGGUGUUC
RNAcentral lists this ribosomal RNA (260 nucleotides) under uncultured bacterium. RNAcentral describes it as "partial 16S ribosomal RNA". It matches the Rfam family "Bacterial small subunit ribosomal RNA", at positions 57 to 305 of the family's 1533-position model. The record is from RNAcentral.